Molecule: ribosomal RNA, 253 nt
Filed under: uncultured bacterium
Lineage: Bacteria
Description: partial 16S ribosomal RNA
Rfam family: Bacterial small subunit ribosomal RNA
Source: RNAcentral
UACGUAGGGGGCUAGCGUUGUCCGGAAUCAUUGGGCGUAAAGCGCGUGUAGGCGGCCCGGUAAGUCCGCUGUGAAAGUCGGGGGCUCAACCCUGGAAGGCCGGUGGAAACUGUCGGGCUAGAGUCCGGAAGAGGCGAGUGGAAUUCCCGGUGUAGCGGUGAAAUGCGCAGAUAUCGGGAGGAACACCAAUGGCGAAGGCAGCUCGCUGGGACGGUACUGACGCUGAGACGCGAAAGCGUGGGGAGCAAACAGG